GGGUCUGUGACAACAAACCUAUGUCAUGAACAGAGAUGGUGAUAUAAAAAUCAUGUUCCAAAGAAUGAUGCUGAGGAUC
Molecule: small nucleolar RNA, 79 nt
Organism: Onychomys torridus (southern grasshopper mouse)
Lineage: Eukaryota; Metazoa; Chordata; Mammalia; Rodentia; Cricetidae
Product: small nucleolar RNA SNORD115
Exons: 1
Source: RefSeq, a predicted model, not a curated record